CGCAGCUUUGUCAAAUUCGGUGCCACUCUCUGUGGGUCGCACCGGCCAAAAAGGCUGCAACAGUGACUGUAGUUCAUGGGCCCCAGGCUCCCUCAUUGUGGGCACUGGGGACAAAAUGUACUACAUACAAUG
This is a small nucleolar RNA of Gadus morhua (Atlantic cod), 132 nucleotides long. Ensembl annotates it as small nucleolar RNA SNORA5. The record is from Ensembl. NCBI's taxonomy places the organism in Eukaryota, Metazoa, Chordata, Actinopteri, Gadiformes, Gadidae.